GAGCCAUGAUCAGGCCACUGCACUCCAGCUUGGGUGACAGAGUGAAACACUAUUUCUAAAAAUAAAAAUUAAAGAAUAAUGGAUGGCAUUAUUCAGCCAUGGGGAAGACCACCUGAAAUACUGUUACACACAGUGGGUCAAGACCACUUCAAAAGCCUUAUGAAAAUAGCACAACUCAGGCAAGGCUUUUAUUCCACAAAGAAAAUGCAGUACAUUUUUUAGUUCCUUUAAAAAAAAAAAACCUCAGAUUUACUCCAGACCCUAUGCACUUAGUCACUAAUCUAUACUGCAUCCCCAUCCUAUUUUUUCCAUUUGGUUCAAUUUUAUACAUUUAAAACUAACUGCUUUGGUCAAAUACGUACCAUCUUUGGUUCACAUUAAAAGAUUAUGGUUUAAAAUUGGCCAGAAGUUAAGAAAUAUCAACAAAAUAGGAAGUUUGAAAUACAAUUUAGGAAUGAGAAUGCUUUCAGAGCUUGUUUCAUUGAAGAUAAUAAUUUAUCUCAUAUUGAACUACAUUAACAACGUUCUAGCUAGGCACAGUGGCUCACACCUGUAAUCCCAGCACUUUAGGAGGCCAAGAUUCUAUUUCAUUAAAAAUAUAUCUCUCUCUCUCUAGAUUCUUUUUGUAUCUAUCUCUUCAUGUUAAGUACAUGGAAA
RNAcentral lists this non-coding RNA (657 nucleotides) under Pongo abelii (Sumatran orangutan). Lineage: Eukaryota; Metazoa; Chordata; Mammalia; Primates; Hominidae. The record is from RNAcentral.